AGAGUUUGAUCCUGGCUCAGGACGAACGCUGGCGGCGUGCUUAACACAUGCAAGUCGAGCGAUGAAGCUUCCUUCGGGGAGUGGAUUAGCGGCGGACGGGUGAGUAACACGUGGGUAACCUGCCUCAAAGUGGGGGAUAGCCUUCCGAAAGGAAGAUUAAUACCGCAUAAUAUAAGAGAAUCGCAUGAUUUUCUUAUCAAAGAUUUAUUGCUUUGAGAUGGACCCGCGGCGCAUUAGCUAGUUGGUAAGGUAACGGCUUACCAAGGCAACGAUGCGUAGCCGACCUGAGAGGGUGAUCGGCCACAUUGGAACUGAGACACGGUCCAGACUCCUACGGGAGGCAGCAGUGGGGAAUAUUGCGCAAUGGGGGAAACCCUGACGCAGCAACGCCGCGUGGGUGAUGAAGGUCUUCGGAUUGUAAAGCCCUGUUUUCUAGGACGAUAAUGACGGUACUAGAGGAGGAAGCCACGGCUAACUACGUGCCAGCAGCCGCGGUAAUACGUAGGUGGCGAGCGUUGUCCGGAUUUACUGGGCGUAAAGGGUGCGUAGGCGGAUGUUUAAGUGGGAUGUGAAAUCCCGGGCUUAACCUGGGGGCUGCAUUCCAAACUGGAUAUCUAGAGUGCAGGAGAGGAAAGCGGAAUUCCUAGUGUAGCGGUGAAAUGCGUAGAGAUUAGGAAGAACACCAGUGGCGAAGGCGGCUUUCUGGACUGUAACUGACGCUGAGGCACGAAAGCGUGGGUAGCAAACAGGAUUAGAUACCCUGGUAGUCCACGCCGUAAACGAUGGAUACUAGGUGUAGGGGGUAUCAACUCCCCCUGUGCCGCAGUUAACACAAUAAGUAUCCCGCCUGGGGAGUACGGUCGCAAGAUUAAAACUCAAAGGAAUUGACGGGGGCCCGCACAAGCAGCGGAGCAUGUGGUUUAAUUCGAAGCAACGCGAAGAACCUUACCUGGACUUGACAUCCCUUGCAUAGCCUAGAGAUAGGUGAAGCCCUUCGGGGCAAGGAGACAGGUGGUGCAUGGUUGUCGUCAGCUCGUGUCGUGAGAUGUUAGGUUAAGUCCUGCAACGAGCGCAACCCUUGUUAUUAGUUGCUACCAUUAAGUUGAGCACUCUAAUGAGACUGCCUGGGUAACCAGGAGGAAGGUGGGGAUGACGUCAAAUCAUCAUGCCCCUUAUGUCCAGGGCUACACACGUGCUACAAUGGUAGGUACAAUAAGACGCAAGACCGUGAGGUGGAGCAAAACUUAUAAAACCUAUCUCAGUUCGGAUUGUAGGCUGCAACUCGCCUACAUGAAGCUGGAGUUGCUAGUAAUCGCGAAUCAGAAUGUCGCGGUGAAUACGUUCCCGGGCCUUGUACACACCGCCCGUCACACCAUGAGAGCUGGUAACACCCGAAGUCCGUGAGGUAACCGUAAGGAGCCAGCGGCCGAAGGUGGGAUUAGUGAUUGGGGUGAAGUCGUAACAAGGUAGCCGUAGGAGAACCUGCGGCUGGAUCACCU
RNAcentral lists this ribosomal RNA (1499 nucleotides) under Clostridium botulinum. Its description in RNAcentral is "bacterial SSU rRNA". It matches the Rfam family "Bacterial small subunit ribosomal RNA". Lineage: Bacteria; Bacillati; Bacillota; Clostridia; Eubacteriales; Clostridiaceae. The record is from RNAcentral.